RNAcentral lists this ribosomal RNA (464 nucleotides) under uncultured bacterium. RNAcentral's name for it is "partial 16S ribosomal RNA". It matches the Rfam family "Bacterial small subunit ribosomal RNA", at positions 29 to 507 of the family's 1533-position model. The record is from RNAcentral.
ACGAACGCUGGCGGCGUGCUUAACUCCUGCAAGUCGUACGGUAAGGCCCUUUCGGGGGUACACGAGUGGCGAACGGGUGAGUAACACGUGAGUAACCUGCCCACAACUUUGGGAUAACGCAAGGAAACUGGUGCUAAUACUGGAUAUGUGCUCCUGCUGCAUGGUGGGGGUUGGAAAGCUCCGGCGGUUGUGGAUGGACUCGCGGCCUAUCAGCUUGGUUGUGGGGUAUUGGCCUACCAAGGCGGCGAGGGGUAGGCGGCCUGAGAGGGUGAACGGCCACAUUGGGUCCGAGGUACGGCCGCGGCUCCUACGGGAGGCAGAAGGGGGGAAGAUUGCAGAAGGGGCGCAAGCCUGAUGCAGCAACGCCGCGGGCGGGAAGACGGCCUUCGGGUUGUAAACCGCUUUCAGCAGGGACGAAGCUUUUUGUGACGGUACCUGCAGAAGAAGCACCGGCUAACUACGUG